Molecule: ribosomal RNA, 697 nt
Filed under: Cytobacillus kochii
Lineage: Bacteria; Bacillati; Bacillota; Bacilli; Caryophanales; Bacillaceae
Description: bacterial SSU rRNA
Rfam family: Bacterial small subunit ribosomal RNA
Source: RNAcentral
AUACCCUGGUAGUCCACGCCGUAAACGAUGAGUGCUAAGUGUUAGAGGGUUUCCGCCCUUUAGUGCUGCAGCAAACGCAUUAAGCACUCCGCCUGGGGAGUACGACCGCAAGGUUGAAACUCAAAGGAAUUGACGGGGGCCCGCACAAGCGGUGGAGCAUGUGGUUUAAUUCGUAGCAACGCGAAGAACCUUACCAGGUCUUGACAUCCUCUGACAAUCCUAGAGAUAGGACUUUCCCCUUCGGGGGACAGAGUGACAGGUGGUGCAUGGUUGUCGUCAGCUCGUGUCGUGAGAUGUUGGGUUAAGUCCCGCAACGAGCGCAACCCUUGAUCUUAGUUGCCAGCAUUUAGUUGGGCACUCUAAGGUGACUGCCGGUGACAAACCGGAGGAAGGUGGGGAUGACGUCAAAUCAUCAUGCCCCUUAUGACCUGGGCUACACACGUGCUACAAUGGAUGGUACAAAGGGCUGCAAGACCGCGAGGUUUAGCCAAUCCCAUAAAACCAUUCUCAGUUCGGAUUGUAGGCUGCAACUCGCCUACAUGAAGCCGGAAUCGCUAGUAAUCGCGGAUCAGCAUGCCGCGGUGAAUACGUUCCCGGGCCUUGUACACACCGCCCGUCACACCACGAGAGUUUGUAACACCCGAAGUCGGUGGGGUAACCUUUUGGAGCCAGCCGCCUAAGGUGGGACAGAUGAUUG